Molecule: long non-coding RNA, 652 nt
Filed under: Melopsittacus undulatus (budgerigar)
Lineage: Eukaryota; Metazoa; Chordata; Aves; Psittaciformes; Psittaculidae
Description: lncRNA (ENSMUNG00000021378.1)
Source: RNAcentral
GGGGGAUGGCAGGCGGGAAGCCGGCUGGAGGACGGGGGCUCUGCCCUGGGAAGUGGCUUCUUAGCCAGCCUGGGCAAACUUUGGGGACGGCCCCAUGUCUGGGGCUGCUGGGCUUUGCCCUCCCUGCUCUGCUCAGGCGGUCUCCUAUAGGAAGCAAACGCACUGUCAGGUUGGGGGAGAGGGAUGUAAAUAGCCUCUGUAAGAUUUUAGUUGGACAAGAAAAUCUGCACUUGAGACAUCCUGACUGAAUUUAAGGCAUGAUGAUGCACAACCGUGAUGAACUGACUACUGAUGCUCUCCCAGUUUGUUCACAGGGAGGAUGAUGGUGACACAAGGACCCUUCUGCUGGAAAUAAAGCAGCUUCAUAGACUUGCUUAGAAAGGAAGAGUAAUUUACCCACACAGAAAUGUUUACAAAUAUAGAGUGCAAGUUGAAAGAGAAGGAAAACAGCAAACUUGGAUUAUUUAUUUUGUUCGAAAUGGUGAACUCAUGUCUCCCUAAAGCCUGCACUCCAGCCUGAGCUCCUGGGGUGGUGUUGGAAGGACUGCAUCUUCCCCAUUUCUGGGAAGCCAGCUUAUUAAUAGUGUAUCCUUCAUGCCUGAAAUCCACUCUUUUCUACAUUUUCUGAUUCUUCUUUACUCUCUCCAUUUAC